Molecule: ribosomal RNA, 274 nt
Filed under: uncultured bacterium
Lineage: Bacteria
Description: partial 16S ribosomal RNA
Rfam family: Bacterial small subunit ribosomal RNA
Source: RNAcentral
AUACGGAGGGGGCUAGCGUUGUUCGGAAUUACUGGGCGUAAAGCGUACGUAGGCGGACUGAUCAGUUGGGGGUGAAAUCCCAGGGCUUAACCCUGGAACUGCCUUCAAUACUGUCAGUCUUGAGUUUGGGAGAGGUGAGUGGAAUUCCUAGUGUAGGGGUGAAAUUCAUAGAUAUUAGGAGGAACACCAGUGGCGAAGGCGGCUCACUGGCCCAUUACUGACGCUGAGGUACGAAAGCGUGGGGAGCAAACAGGAUUAGAUACCCUAGUAGUCC